This 82-nucleotide transfer RNA is filed under the name Cronobacter sakazakii. RNAcentral describes it as "tRNA-Thr". The record is from RNAcentral. Lineage: Bacteria; Pseudomonadati; Pseudomonadota; Gammaproteobacteria; Enterobacterales; Enterobacteriaceae.
GCCAGUAAAAACAGUAAGUUAAAUGUGGUGCUUCACAUUCGUAAUGCGAAGGUCGUAGGUUCGACUCCUAUUAUCGGCACCA